This 607-nucleotide long non-coding RNA is filed under the name Daucus carota (carrot). RNAcentral's name for it is "long non-coding RNA (DCAR_LNC006787)". The record is from RNAcentral. Lineage: Eukaryota; Viridiplantae; Streptophyta; Magnoliopsida; Apiales; Apiaceae.
CAGAUUAUAUAUGAAUAAAGUAGAGCAAGAAUGCAUGUCUUAUAUCAAAUGUCUUACGUUACGUAUUCCCCGGUUGCUAUGGAUUUCAUUUAUCUUUUAAAAUGGUUUUAGGGGAAUAGUAACUUGUGAUUAUCUAUCCCGAAUGAGAUUCAAAUUCUGAAAUUAUUUAGUAAUUAUCAUUACUAAAUGUGAGAUGAAAUUCUGAGAUUCAAAUUCUGGAGACAUGGUAUUGAUUCACGAAUAUCAUGUAGUGAUUUUAAAAAGGGGAUAGAUAAUAAAUGUGAUUCAAACUGAAAACUGGAAAUGGAUCAGAUAUCUCUAUUUGGAGCUGCGUAAGAGGUUCCGUUAUUCGGUAACGACCCAGCAUGAGGUUGCGUAAGAGGCUAAGUCGGGUGGUGCACAUUAUUAAACCCCUUAGUCCAGCGUGAUAAAGACUUAGCUAGUCUUUAGGUUCCGGAACAUUCAUUCGUGAUGGCCUCGUCGCCGUCCGGUGUUGAUAGGCUGAUCAGCUAUCUUCACCUGUUAGCGUCCAUUAUAUCUGAUAAUUCAUUUUGAGACUAAAUCCUGUUAUAGCAUGCUAGUGAUAAAUUUUGAAACUAAAACUUAU